UUUGUUAUCACAAACGUAUAUGCGCCCUCAAACCACAAUCACAAACAAGACUUCCUCGACGAAUUCAGAGAAAUCCAAGAAAAUGACCAAAUCCUGUGGCUCAUUGCAGGCGACUUUAACCAAAUCCGCUUUCCUAGUGAAAAAAAUAACCGUAAUUUUCACCAACGCGAAGCUGAUGCUUUCAACGCUAUGAUCAACGACCUCGCUUUAAUCGAGCUACCACUGCUUGAUAGACGCUUUACUUGGUCUAACAAAAGAGCAAACCCAACCCUGGAAAGACUUGACAGAGCUUUUAUUAACCUAGCCUAG
Molecule: ribosomal RNA, 309 nt
Filed under: Triticum aestivum (bread wheat)
Lineage: Eukaryota; Viridiplantae; Streptophyta; Magnoliopsida; Poales; Poaceae
Description: partial small subunit ribosomal RNA
Source: RNAcentral